This 301-nucleotide ribosomal RNA is filed under the name uncultured bacterium. RNAcentral's name for it is "partial 16S ribosomal RNA". It matches the Rfam family "Bacterial small subunit ribosomal RNA", at positions 509 to 807 of the family's 1533-position model. The record is from RNAcentral.
CAGCAGCCGCGGUAAUACAGAGGGUGCGAGCGUUAAUCGGAUUUACUGGGCGUAAAGCGUGCGUAGGCGGCUUCUUAAGUCGGAUGUGAAAUCCCUGAGCUUAACUUAGGAAUCGCAUUCGAUACUGGGAAGCUAGAGUAUGGGAGAGGAUGGUAGAAUUCCAGGUGUAGCGGUGAAAUGCGUAGAGAUCUGGAGGAAUACCGAUGGCGAAGGCAGCCAUCUGGCCUAAUACUGACGCUGAGGUACGAAAGCAUGGGGAGCAAACAGGAUUAGAUACCCCCGUAGUCCCUGUCUCUUAUAC